RNAcentral lists this long non-coding RNA (1383 nucleotides) under Lupinus angustifolius (narrow-leaved blue lupine). Its description in RNAcentral is "long non-coding RNA (LANG_LNC000968)". Lineage: Eukaryota; Viridiplantae; Streptophyta; Magnoliopsida; Fabales; Fabaceae. The record is from RNAcentral.
CACUCGAGUGCUCGUUAAGACUUGGAGUCUGGAAAAACGAGACUAAUAGAGGGGGAAAAUUCAGAGGAAAAAUCAUCAUAGGAAGAUACCCUACAAAAUAUGAGAAUAACAUAACAUUCACUUACAUUGCAAAUGGAAAUAUAGAAAACCUGAGAAAAGAAAUGGAUGGGAUCGGGAACUGUUGAUCAUGCACAUCUUCAAAUUGGUGACUUCUAAGCUACAUUAAUAAUAAAUUUGUACACAACUUUAAUAACCUUGUUGAGAAGGGUAGCCUUGAUAUUCCGACCAGUUGAUCACAUGUGACCAUAUGCACCAUCAUAUUUUUCACUGAUACACAAAAAACAUGAUGGCAUAACACUACUGCAAUAUGAGAAAACCUAACUUGCAAACCCAAGAGUUAAGAAUCAGAGUGGACUUAAUAUCUGGCAGACAUUAUCUCAAAUAAUUUAUAAGUCGUUAAUAUGCAAAAGAACACUUCAAUCAAAGACAAAUAUGUUACAACUAUGACCCAAGAGUCCAAAGUAAAGUGUUGAUCAAGUGUCAAGUCUCACAUUAGAUAUGAGGCGAUGAAUGAACUAAUCCUUUAAGAUUUUGGUUUAAGAUGUGGUACCUCUCUACUCUUCUCAUAUCUCGAUAACAAUGGAACACCUCGAUGGUUGGAGGCUAAACGAUCGCAGUGUGAUGCAAAAAAGUGAUAUAAGAACCAAUGGUUCGACUGGACAUGGUGAAGUUAGGGGGGGCAGACCAAAAUGUGUGUUACCCAAACUUGAAGGGGAUAUUGUUGAGUUUAUUCAAGUGUAAACUCCCACACUGGAUAUAAGGAGAGGAGUGGAAUUUUUUACAAAUAGAGAAGACCUAUGAAACUAAUACCUUAAGGAUUCUAUUCAAGACGUGAUGUUUCACUGAUAGAUCUCAACUCUUCCAUGUAACAAUGGAACUCACCGAUGGUUGAAGUAUCAGUUUAAUCCAAAAUAAAGAAGUAUAACUUAUUCUUGAAACCCAUAGGCAGCAUAGCUAUACAACGCACAUAUGUCUAAACCCAUGACGAGCAAAUGCACAGAAAAAACAGGAAGAAAAUAUGCUCAAACUCACAAUUAUUGGCUACCCUCCCUGCAAUACACUCAAUGAAAAUGAUGGGAAAGAAGCAACUCUGAAUGACACGAUAGAAGAGAAUAUACAACUUCAAAAACAGGACCCAAGCAGAAAUCACCAUGCCAGUCUAGUCUGAGCUUUGAAGAUGCACAGAACGUUCCAUGAGAUUAUUUGGAGACACUACUACACCACUAAAAGAUCAUUUACAGGAUUAAUCCAAGACAUCAUAUCAUGCUCAAUCAAAGUCACACAGAAAAUGAGACAAUCAAAGAAAUCAAAUUUGUAAUCUUG